Chelonoidis abingdonii (Abingdon island giant tortoise) is the source of this 152-nucleotide unclassified non-coding RNA. The record is from Ensembl. Lineage: Eukaryota; Metazoa; Chordata; Testudines; Testudinidae.
UUGACAGCCCUGGAGAGGGAAGUCCUGAGUUUAUCCACAGAACAGGACCACCAUGGGCAACAGCAAUUCAGCCCACUUCACAAUAACCUGGAGAGACCUCUUCUAAAGGGGACAAGGCUCAGUCUUCAUGACCUAUACGAUCCUUGGUGCCU